This 37-nucleotide ribosomal RNA is filed under the name Globisporangium carolinianum. RNAcentral's name for it is "Pythium carolinianum partial 18S ribosomal RNA". The record is from RNAcentral. Lineage: Eukaryota; Oomycota; Peronosporomycetes; Pythiales; Pythiaceae.
UCCGUAGGUGAACCUGCGGAAGGAUCAUUACCACACC